CUUGAAACGCCACUUGCCACUUGAAAUGACUUCAGUUUUGCGUGUUGUCUGUGAUCUCCUUUUUUCUGCACAACUAAACAACAGAAUGAACAUCAUCUGUGAGACUGGAAUGAAGCUCCACGGCAGACAUGCUGCUGCUGAGUGAGCAGCGAGUUGGGAGGAGCGGAUGCAUCACAACCAGAAGGGCGUCAUCAGAGCGGCGGCUGUCACAAGUGAUCGGUUGUUGUGAUCGGCAUUCACCGAUCACACUGAAAUCGGCCGAUCAUGAUUGGUGACCGAUCGAUCGGAACAUCCCUACUCCCAGUCCACCUCUCCAUCUCCCCCUCAACACAGUCACAGCCAUCUUCAACUGGCAGGUGAAACCCAGCACCCAUCAUAAAACAUUCCAAACACAAGCUCCAUGGUAUUGGCAGGUCUGCACUACAGCUGGUGGGUAUCUCUGCUGCUCCUCUGCUCACACCUCAGUCAUCUGAGGUAACCCAUGUUGUCGUGAGAACGUUUGAAAAUGACAUGGUCCAGAGUUACACCUGACAGCAGAAGUAAGCCCGGAACAAGGACACAGUGCAAAGUGACCAGACCCCUUGGGUGGUCCAGUAGUCACCCCAGGCCUAGUCUGUGUUCCAAGGUUGUCCAUCUUGAUGCCUGUGGAUAAGCACCGGAUAGGUGGAAGAACUUGUAGAGCAAACUGAUCCACGGCCAUCCGGGCCUGUUAUGCUAGCUACAGCAGCGUCUAAGUUAUCUUCCUUCCUUGAGAGAGCCUUAUGGUGCAGCAAGGAGGAGAUGGAUGGCUGGGACUGAAUGAAGAUGGAGUCGUAAACCUGUCGUAACCACCACUGGUUGUAUUAAUGUUCAGAGAGCCAGGCUGAGUCAGACCAGACCGACAAGGUUGAGCAGUGACGCAUCAUGCAGCACCGCGCCUAGAAAAUGCAGUGGUGAUGGAU
Molecule: long non-coding RNA, 941 nt
Organism: Synchiropus splendidus (mandarinfish)
Lineage: Eukaryota; Metazoa; Chordata; Actinopteri; Syngnathiformes; Callionymidae
Exons: 3
Source: RefSeq, a predicted model, not a curated record